Molecule: ribosomal RNA, 253 nt
Filed under: uncultured bacterium
Lineage: Bacteria
Description: partial 16S ribosomal RNA
Rfam family: Bacterial small subunit ribosomal RNA
Source: RNAcentral
GACGGGGGAUGUAAGCAUUAUCCGGAAUCACUGGGCGUAAAGCGUCUGUAGGUGGUGAUGCCAGUCACUGGUGCAAAACUCUGGCUCAACCGGAGGAAAGCCAGUGAAACUGCAUGACUAGAGUGUGGGAGAGGUAGAAGGAAUUCCCUGAGUAGCGGUGAAAUGCGUAGAUACAGGGAAGAACACCGGAGGCGAAAGCGUUCUACUGGAACACAACUCACACUGAGAGACGAAAGCUCGGGGAGCGAAUGGG